This is a non-coding RNA of Struthio camelus australis, 1427 nucleotides long. The record is from RefSeq and is a predicted model, not a curated record. NCBI's taxonomy places the organism in Eukaryota, Metazoa, Chordata, Aves, Struthioniformes, Struthionidae.
AAUAUUUUUGAAAGUUCAAGAAUAUAUGCCUCUUUUUCAAAAUUGAAACCUUAAACUAAACUCUAUAACAUUCACUAAAAAAUGCAACACUCUUUAACAGCUAAUACCCAAUAACUUUCCCCUUUAUUUAUUCCCAUUUCCAUAUCUAUUUGGCUAGGCAUGUGACUACAGAGAGUAUUGCUAGUUGGAAGCUUCAUAUGUGCUGAUUGGUUGACUAAUUUUCUUAUUCUACUUCAUCAGAUGCCUGCUGCCUGAUAAAUGGAUAAGGAGCUAAGUUACAAUUACUUUUCAGCUGGAUUACCCUUCAUUAUAUUUUAUUGAUUUUGGCUUAAAAGCAUUUGGAUCUAUGGCUGUAACAGAAGGAGUGUGAAGAACAGCAGGGAAAAGGACGUGUUUCUGUAUGUUUUCAGUUGCCCUGAGAAGGUGUCUGUCUCCAUUGGACCAAAUGGGAUGCAUUUGAUGGUGCUGAGGGAGAUGGCUAUUGUCAUUGCUCUAUCACCUCUGAAAGGUCAUGGAGAUUGGGGAACAGAGGUUCCUGAUGGAGAAAGGCUAAAGUUACGCUGGUCUUCAGAAACGGCAAGCACAAUCCAAGGAACUUCAGAAGUCCCUGAGAAAAUCAAGAAGCAAAUCUGCUUGGAAGCUAUUUCUGGGCAUGUGAAGGAGAACACAGUGACUGAGAAUAGCCAGCAUGGAUUUGCUGUUGGUAAAUCACACCUGCUUUUCAAGACCUAACUGGACAAAGCCCUGAGCAACCUCGUCUGAAUUCGAUGUUGACUCUGCUUUGAGCAGGAGGUUGGACUAGAGACCUCCCAGGGUCACUUCCAGACUGAGUGAUUCAUUGAUUCUAUGCUAGUGACUAUACUUCAGCUGAAGAGGGUGAUGAAGGGGAAUAAUGUCUGAGGAGUUAUGAUUCUUUACACUAUCUGAUCCUAUUUGCAUCAAGAAAAUGAGGAAGUACUUUAAAAAUUCAGGAGACAUGUAAACAGUAAUUUUAUCUUAGUUUAAUGUUUACCAAACUUAAAGUAAUAUCAAUUUAUUCAAUAUUUCCCAAUAAAUACUAUGGUUAUAUUCAUUAACUCAGAAAAAGAACCUAAUGAAAAACUGUAUUUCAUGUUGGCUAACUCUUGUAUGUUUUCAUUUGACUGUUCUUAAACUAGUCCGAGUUAGUUUGUGAAAUUUGUACUUGAAAAGCAAAUUAGCUACUGGAAUAAGUUUUACUAAGAAUAAGGCAAAGGUCAAAACUUUUGAAAGAUUAUGUUACAAUUAUAUGGUAAUUUUUACUGACAAGAAUUAUGUUGUAGUUGCUGUGCUUAAUAAUAUGUGAUUUUGUAUUUCUCCCCCGUGAAUUUACAGAAAAAGAAAUUUACCUUAGAUUAAGUAAGAUCUCAAAACAGAUAUUUAUGGAAUAAAAACUUUCAUAAGCUUCA